CCAAUUACCAGGGUGAUUCUUCAGAUCCUCGUAACCUCACUCUAGUCGUAGCAAUAUAAGCAGACAUGGUAUAGAUAAAAUUAACAUCACACCAAACAUAAGAAUAUACUACAUAAUAAUGAUCUACGCAUUUGUACGAGUCUAACUCAACUUGAACGGAUCAAAUCAGAGUUAAAACGAAGAAGUUAUGAAUUUCUAAUGAUUUUAUGUGUUUUGUACAAGAUUAAAUUAGGAAUUAGAUUUUAAAGUGGUUUUCAUGUCAAAUCAGAGGUACUAUGUGAUAAAAAAAUAAUAUUAUAUAAUUAUAGAAAUUGGAACGGGCUCAUUUGGACUUAAUAUGAAUUUUCUAUGGAUUUAACAAGAUUCUGGAAUUGUUUUUAUAUAAGAAAUUCAUUUUCUAAAUCAUUUCCUCUGAUUUUCCAUUUCCCUGGACUGCGACUACUAAUAUCACCAAGAUCAGGGGCUAAAGCAUAAAGCUUACGCAGACUCAGAACUUCCCCCGCUAGGACGGCGGGUUUAUUUCUAAAAAUCGUAGGGUCUCUUUAGCAUAAAUGCCAAGGCGAAGGGGUAUUGGUUGAUCUGCAUCGUUGGACGCGAGAUCGACGGUGCAGGAUAGAUUCGUCCAUGCCUGAACCGAUAUGCUAUGCGAAACCUUGGAUCCAGAUCAGACGGUCCACACUCAAUCCGAGCACAUAAACGCGAUGACUCAAUCCCACCCGUCUGAUCAUAGAUCCACGGUUCAAACUCUCCCACACCCAGACCCGACGGGAGCCCUUGGUUUUUAGAUGAACGGCUGAGAUCUCCAACAACUAAAAAGGGGUACGCUCACUCUAAUCCUGGUCGCACACUAAGGAUCUAAUGGCUCACGUGCGGCACCCCCGAGGUAAUACCCCUCAUCCAAUCCUAACCGCACAAAGGUGGAUCAAAGGUGCCAGCCGCGUCUUCCUCAUCCUCAAAGGUGAAUCCCGACGACACCCAGCGGUGGCGACAUCACCGGUCCUAGCUGAACCCCGAUCCUGAGCUCGAAGCAUCUCUCCCGAACAAGCUACUCGAGGCGGAGGUAAGUGCGACGUUG
This 1075-nucleotide long non-coding RNA is filed under the name Zea mays. RNAcentral describes it as "drought responsive lncRNA". Lineage: Eukaryota; Viridiplantae; Streptophyta; Magnoliopsida; Poales; Poaceae. The record is from RNAcentral.